AUUCGCAUGGGCACCACGUGUCAGUGGGGGGAGCUGUGUGGCCCUGGCGGGUAUGGGCAGUAGGUGGAGCUGUGUGUCCCUGGGCAGCACUGGGGGUGGUGGGGGGAUUCUGUAUGUCGCUGGUGGGUGGGGAGAUCUGUGUGUCCCUGAGGGAACAUGGCGAGUGGGGUGACCUGUGUGUCCCUGGGGGGCACUGGGGGUGGUGGGGUAUUCUGUAUGUUGCUGGGGGGCCACAGGGGGUGAGGGGAUCUGUGUGUCCCUGGGGGGCACUUGGGUGGGGGGAUCCGCCUGUCCCUGGGAAGCCAAUGUCCGGGUGCCCAGGGAAUAUCCUGGUGCUGGCUCCUCUGGGGCUUGUGGAGCUCAGUGGCGAGAUCACUGGGGGAGGGGGUGAAGGCACUGGCUUUGAGGGGUUUGGGGGCCCACGGCAUGCAGACCGGGCAGGCACAAAAUCAGAGACUGUGCCCAGCCGCUUCCCUGCAGGUGCAAUCCGGAGCGUUCUCCACGGCAGAGUGAGGGCCCAGUGUACGGCCUCUCCAUCCCAGAUGCAACCCUCGGUCAGCUCCGCUGGAUGCAACCACAGCCUCCCGGCCUCCUUCCUGGACACUGGGCAGGGCUCAGCCCACAGGAGCAAACCCGCCCACCCAGGGAGCUGGGCAGGGGGCUUCCAAGGAAAAGCUGACCCAGUAGUGGGAACUUCAGAAACCCAGCCCCCGUGGUGCCUGGCCCCCACCCGGCCUGGAAGAGGAGUCCCUCAGGGCAGAGCUGUGUCCCCCAGGCUCAUCUGUGGAAGCCCCGCCCCCAGCACCCCAGAAUGUGGCCACAGACAAGGCCUUCACAGGGACACCCCAUGGGCUGGGGUCUUGAGGCAAGGGGAGAUGAGGCCUCUCGGGGCGAUGGCUGAGGACCCAGGGGGCCAGGACAGGGGCUGUAGGGGGAGCUAGCCCCACCCCAAUCUUCACCUUGAACUUCAUCCUCCAGGAGUGGGAGCCACCAAGUGCCCAGGUCGCCCGGCUGCCCCCAACGCCACCUUGUGGCUUGAACCAAACAGGGACCCAGCCAGGCUCCAUCCUAAAACCAAUGGUCAGCGCCUGUCUGAAGGCAGACCUGUGACCUGUGACCUGUGACCUCCAGCCUGCUCCCUGCCCAGAGCUCAGCCCUGGAGGCUGCAGGUGGAAGGAUGCCUCACAUACUCCCUUCCCCAGGGAAGACCCCAUAAGGACAUGGGACCCAGGCUCAGCGGGGGCCGGGCCCUG
This 1253-nucleotide long non-coding RNA is filed under the name Oryctolagus cuniculus (rabbit). Its description in RNAcentral is "lncRNA (ENSOCUG00000038058.1)". The record is from RNAcentral. Lineage: Eukaryota; Metazoa; Chordata; Mammalia; Lagomorpha; Leporidae.